GGAAUCGUGCCUGAAUAAAGGACCACUUUGAUAGAGUGAACAACGAAGGUUAAAAUCCCUCCGACUCCU
RNAcentral lists this transfer RNA (69 nucleotides) under Zebrias quagga (fringefin zebra sole). RNAcentral describes it as "tRNA-Ile". It matches the Rfam family "tRNA". From Rfam's summary of the family: Transfer RNA (tRNA) molecules are approximately 80 nucleotides in length. Their secondary structure includes four short double-helical elements and three loops (D, anti-codon, and T loops). Lineage: Eukaryota; Metazoa; Chordata; Actinopteri; Pleuronectiformes; Soleidae. The record is from RNAcentral.